CUGUGAUUGUGUGUUUUUUAUCACGGCCACUUCUUGCAUUGCAUUGGAAGCUCGCUCACAGAUUUCCACGUGGGAUCUGGACUUCACAUCAAGAAGAGGAUAGGACUCACAAACUGAGAGAAUGUACUGGCGACCUGUCCAGGGUGCACCCAGCGUCUCGCCCGAUGACAGCUGGGAUGGGCUUCAGCAACACCCCCCGCGACACUCUACAGGACAAGCGUUUACAGAACACGAAUCUUCUUGUUUUCCUUUGUUUUUGUCCUGCAGCACGGGUAAGAUACAACGGAUGAAAUGUCUGAUUUAUUGUAUGUAUGUAUUGUAUGUAACUGUAUUUAUGUCAUUCUGUGCAUGUAACAGCUGCUUUAGAAAAUGACUUCUUAAAAUUUGACUUUGCUACUACCUAAAUAAGUAAGGCAUGCCCCCUUUUUUUUCUAUUGUGUGGGUCUUGUUGAUGCAGUCACAGGACUUUGUGCAGCCGGCUACACAGAUAUGUGACAGUCAAUCCUAUUAAGCUAACCCUCUUUAAUCUUUUGUAUUGUAACACUGGAAAGGAUGAACUACGCUGGUGGACAUUUGAUAGCUGUACAGUAACAUUUGUGCAGUUUUUUUCUUGUCCCUUUGCCUAGAUAUGUGUUUUUGAGUCACAUGCUGAAGAGUCCUCGAGAGUCUUUGUGAAUGUGUAGAUGUGUCACUGACUCUAAAGCACUUUCAGUACCAACAAGUAGAAGGACACUAUAUAAAAAAAAUAAGAUCAUAUUUCCACUGACCAUUGUUUUCCCACUAAAUGACACGACUUCUACAUAAAAGUGUCUGCAGUGCUGUGUUGUCUACUGUCAACAAUGUACAUACUGUUUGUAAUCUGUAUAUUAUAUACUGUAUAUCAUGUAUUCCUACUGUCAAUAGUGCAGAAUCAGAAUUGUGCAGGAUCAUGCAUGCUUAAUUCUCAACUAUCUAUCUAAACGUUUUACACAAUGUCAGUCAUGUAUAUAUUGUCCAUAUUCUGUAAAUAUACUGUAAAAAAAAAAAAAAAAUCUGUUAACCCUGCACAUUCUGUACAUAACAACUCUACACACUUCUGUAUAGAAACUGUAGGACAAGUUCUGUCAUCUCAGCAUAGAUCUGCACUUGCUGUAAAUAAUGCUUUCUUUGCCCAUCUGGUUAGAUGCUAACUGUGUUUAAUUGUUUGUAUACCUGUACUCUGCCCAGUGACACUGAAAUAGAUUCUAAUCUAAUCUGCGGUGACAGUGUAAAGGCGAAGGCGCACCUUCUAGCGCCAUCUGCUGGCCCCGCGCUGAACACGUCUGCUUUAAUUGACUGCAUUCGCAAAUUAUCGCUUUGAUUUGCGCGAAGCUGUAGAGUUAUACAUACUUUUAACAAACUGAAAAUAGCGAAAACAAAUAUUUUAAAAUUCUUUCCACUGUCAGAGUAUCAACCGUUAAGUCUGUCUGUGUUUGCCUCAAUUUUGGAUUUCAUGCAUGUAUGUGCUUAAAACACAAAAUUGCCGCGGAUCCUUUUUGAAGCUGUUGAAGUUUUGAAAAUUGAAAAUGUCUUGGACAUACAUUUAGCAUUUUGAAGAAACUCCAAGACAAUGAAUCUGUAUAUGUGGGUGUCCCAUUUACCCAUUUAAGUAAAUCCUAUUAAAUUCGCAAGCCCGAUUAUUUUAUAAACUCAUCCCGGAUGGCUGCCCACGGUGUUCGUCCACGUACUCAGUAACUGUUCCUCAGGCAAGUGUGAAGCUGUUUAUUGGAUAUCUUUUGCACUACAGCAUGUAUGUACAUAUGUGUAUUUACAGGAAAAAGUAUAUUUUCGUGAGUCUUGACACGUUUCUAAUACUACUACCAAAAUGCGGUUCCAGUGACGUGAAUCUUUAUUCUUUGAAAAGAAAAAUAUUGAAGGACUAAGAACACAAGAUUAAAUGAAAUGCAUUUGUUUCAUGUUCACUGUCCCAUGCAGACACAAACAGUCGCCUCUUGCCUGGAAUCAUUUAUUUGUUUCUCCAUAUUUGCAGUUUAAUAAUUUUUUUUUAAAACAUUUUUUCUUUGCAUAAAACUCUUUAUCUGUAAGUAUAAUAAAAACAAUAUUUCAUCA
Long non-coding RNA from Mugil cephalus (flathead mullet), 2088 nucleotides. RefSeq lists it as uncharacterized. Lineage: Eukaryota; Metazoa; Chordata; Actinopteri; Mugiliformes; Mugilidae. The transcript has 2 exons. The record is from RefSeq and is a predicted model, not a curated record.